UCAUACAAACUGGGGAGCUAGCGGUGCCCUGAAUCCACAAUCCGCUUUAGUGGAAGUCAUAUUAAAUUUGAGGGAGACUUAGGUAUUACGCCAUAUAUUAAGGUGUUGAGAGUGUAGUCUUAUUUGGUAGAAAUUAGGCGAAUUAUGUCAGGUUGGGAACGAAGCAGCAUUAAGUCUAGAUUUCUAGGUUUAUAAGGUAGCUAUUACUUGAGCUAAGAUAUGUGAAACGGGUGUUUGGGUUGUUUCGAUUAUUUAAUGUAUGA
Molecule: signal recognition particle RNA, 263 nt
Filed under: Sneathia vaginalis
Lineage: Bacteria; Fusobacteriati; Fusobacteriota; Fusobacteriia; Fusobacteriales; Leptotrichiaceae
Description: [Leptotrichia] amnionii Bacterial large signal recognition particle RNA
Rfam family: Bacterial large signal recognition particle RNA
About the family: The signal recognition particle (SRP) is a universally conserved ribonucleoprotein involved in the co-translational targeting of proteins to membranes. Archaeal SRP consists of a 7S RNA and homologues of the eukaryotic SRP19 and SRP54 proteins.
Source: Rfam by way of RNAcentral